UACGUAGGGGGCAAGCGUUGUCCGGAAUUAUUGGGCGUAAAGAGCGUGUAGGCGGUCCGGUAAGUCAGCUGUGAAAGUCAAGGGCUCAACCCUUGAAAGCCGGUUGAUACUGUCGGGCUAGAGUCCGGAAGAGGCGAGUGGAAUUCCCGGUGUAGCGGUGAAAUGCGCAGAUAUCGGGAGGAACACCAAUGGCGAAGGCAGCUCGCUGGGACGGUACUGACGCUGAGACGCGAAAGCCAGGGGAGCGAACGGG
RNAcentral lists this ribosomal RNA (253 nucleotides) under uncultured bacterium. Its description in RNAcentral is "partial 16S ribosomal RNA". It matches the Rfam family "Bacterial small subunit ribosomal RNA", at positions 524 to 776 of the family's 1533-position model. The record is from RNAcentral.